AAGAGAAUAGUGUGAAUGUUCAAAAGGAAUAUAGCUGGUAUUUUAUAUCAAGGAGUUCCUGAAAAAUUGUAUGCCUGGUUGUUGACUUUUUUUCCUAUGCAUAGCAUAGAUAUUCUUUGGAUUUUCCUGCCUUUUUUUACUUCUAGAUUGCAAUUUUAUUUGCUUUACUUGCCAUCUGUUAUUAUGAAGUACUAUCUCAUGAUUUAUGUGAAGCAUGAUAAGUUGGUAUUGAUGAUUGGUUUGGAGUCAUGAUUUUCCCUCACAUUAAUUCAGAAGUAGAUCAGAAGAUGGCAAGGCUUCAGUGCUAGAGCAUGGCGGAAUUUGCCCUUUUCUUCCAUGUUAUUCUGGCAUUCUUCAAAACUAUGCCAAGUUCUAUAUGUUUAUCUUGCCAUUU
RNAcentral lists this unclassified non-coding RNA (394 nucleotides) under Hevea brasiliensis (rubber tree). The record is from RNAcentral. Lineage: Eukaryota; Viridiplantae; Streptophyta; Magnoliopsida; Malpighiales; Euphorbiaceae.